This 425-nucleotide ribosomal RNA is filed under the name uncultured bacterium. RNAcentral describes it as "bacterial SSU rRNA". It matches the Rfam family "Bacterial small subunit ribosomal RNA", at positions 355 to 772 of the family's 1533-position model. The record is from RNAcentral.
UGGGGAAUUUUGGACAAUGGGGGCAACCCUGAUCCAGCCAUGCCGCGUGCGGGAAGAAGGCCUUCGGGUUGUAAACCGCUUUUGUCAGGGAAGAAACGCGCUGGGAUAACACCCCGGCGUAAUGACGGUACCUGAAGAAUAAGCACCGGCUAACUACGUGCCAGCAGCCGCGGUAAUACGUAGGGUGCAAGCGUUAAUCGGAAUUACUGGGCGUAAAGCGUGCGCAGGCGGUGAUGUAAGACAGUUGUGAAAUCCCCGGGCUCAACCUGGGAACUGCAUCUGUGACUGCAUUGCUGGAGUGCGGCAGAGGGGGAUGGAAUUCCGCGUGUAGCAGUGAAAUGCGUAGAUAUGCGGAGGAACACCGAUGGCGAAGGCAAUCCCCUGGGCCUGCACUGACGCUCAUGCACGAAAGCGUGGGGAGCAAA